Molecule: long non-coding RNA, 713 nt
Organism: Onychostruthus taczanowskii (white-rumped snowfinch)
Lineage: Eukaryota; Metazoa; Chordata; Aves; Passeriformes; Passeridae
Exons: 3
Source: RefSeq, a predicted model, not a curated record
GUGAUUUAUACUAUGUGCCAAUGAAAACAUUCCCCUCUGGGGAAGGUUGCACUGGGAUGCAGGGAAAACGUAGCACGCCCUGGCCAUUUCCUGCUGAACCUUUCAGCAGGAAGGAAGAUGAACACUGACCUAGAUGAUCUUAAAGUUUCGUUCUUCUAAAAUGCUUAUUAACCUCUGAAUGGACUGACCUGAGCAGGAUUCACUGUGGAGAGAAGACUUCAGUUACUUGUGUUCCUUGUGAGUACAAAAUGCUCACCUAAAUUCCACACUGUGUCGCUGCUUUAUUACAGGAGAACUUUUGAUACUGCCUGCAGACAGAAACAAGCUGAAGUUUUGCCAUCUUUAGUGCCUCUCUUCCUGUUCAGUUUCCUGGUUAUUGGUUUGGUUUGGUGCCAGGGAAAUGACCAUGGCUCUUCCCCCAGAAAGCAUAUUCUUCAUCUUUUGAUAUUAUUCAAGACUACACUUCCAGCCAGGUAGCCAAGUCUAGUGAAGUAAAAUCAAAGAAACUGUAAUAAUCAUUUGAACAGUAAGAGCACACUGCAUACCCCACCCGCACACCCUCUGAAGGAUUUCAGUUACAGGUUCUGAAUAGAAGGAGUGAAAAGAAUCAGCUUUACAACAUCCAAGUUGUACCAAGAUCCCUUCUGCACUGGGACUCACAGGCAGACAGCCACAUGCAGCCCCACAGAGACGUGAAUGGAUUUGUGUUGAGU